Molecule: unclassified non-coding RNA, 240 nt
Filed under: soil metagenome
Description: partial contains 5.8S ribosomal RNA, internal transcribed spacer 2, and large subunit ribosomal RNA
Source: RNAcentral
AACUGAUACUACCUGCGGGAACCUGCGGAGGGAUCAUUACAGAGUUUUCUAAACUCCCAAACCCAUGUGAACAUACUUCUGUUGCCUCGGCGGGGGAUGUCUUUCGAGUAUAGAAUCGUUUCUCGAGACUAUAAGCGGGGGCAGCCUGCCCUGUAGCGACCUACCCUGUAGGGACCUACCCGGGAACCGCCGGUGGAUCACACAAUCUCUUUGUCUUUAGUGGCACUUCUGAGUAAUUAC